Molecule: ribosomal RNA, 948 nt
Filed under: Trichinella zimbabwensis
Lineage: Eukaryota; Metazoa; Nematoda; Enoplea; Trichinellida; Trichinellidae
Description: 16S ribosomal RNA
Rfam family: Archaeal large subunit ribosomal RNA (bases 577-861)
Source: RNAcentral
AAAACUCAAAUAACUCCCAACAACUUCCUUUUGCAUAAGGAGUAACUAAAAAUCCAGAUUUAAAUCUACAAUAGAAAGAUAGUAAACUACGAAUAUUUAAGAUUUACAUGAAAUCUAACACUAAAAUACUCGAAGAGACACUCUACACACUAUCCGAUAACUAUUUCAGGACAAACUUAGUAUAAGCUAAGUAACACAUAAUACAAUCUAAGCUAACAGGCUUAGAAUCAACCAACACAACAGUUCGUAAUUGACUAGCCCACCACUUAACAAUAAUCACUCCAAAUCAUUCAAAACCAAAGACUGAUAAACCAUAGUUACACUAGUAAGAACAACAAAAAUUCGCAUGUUAAAACUCAGCAAUAAACCUCCUACUGUUUAAUAAAAACAUUGUAAUACAAAUGUAUUAUAACCCUCCUGCCCAAUGAAGACAUUUGAAUGGCCGCGGUAAUUUGACUGUGCAAAGGUAGCAUAAUAAAUUGUUUGAUAAAUUUAAACUAGAAUGAAAGGAAUAAAGAAGGUCUACUAUUAACAUACGACUAUCAGAAACUAUAAUUAAGGUGAAAAUUCCUUACAGUAACUCUCAAACGAGAAGACCCUAGAAACUAAUCAUCACAACUUUUUUUGGGAUAAAACUUUAAAAUAAAAGAGUCAUCACCACCUCAAAUAAAACAGUUACUCUAGGGAUAACAGCACAAUAAAAGCCAAGAGAACUUAUCUACCCUUUAGAUUGUGACCUCGAUGUUGAAUCAAGAAUUACCAGCCGUAGAAGGCUAGCAAGUUUCGUCUGUUCGACGAUACAUAAAUACGUGAUUUGAGUUUAAACCGUCGCAAGACAGGUUGGAUUCUCUUUAGAGUUACAACAUAUAACCAUUACUAGUACGAAAGGAACGUAAUACCUAACAGUCAUUAUGAAAAAAUUCAUAAAGCCCAACACAAAACCCACAA